Molecule: ribosomal RNA, 305 nt
Filed under: uncultured bacterium
Lineage: Bacteria
Description: bacterial SSU rRNA
Rfam family: Bacterial small subunit ribosomal RNA
Source: RNAcentral
CAGUACCUACGGGAGGCAGCAGUGGGGGAUAUUGCACAAUGGGGGAAACCCUGAUGCAGCGACGCCGCGUGUGGGAAGACGGUCCUCUGGAUUGUAAACCACUGUCCCCAGGGACGAAAAUGACGGUACCUGGGGAGGAAGCUCCGGCUAACUACGUGCCAGCAGCCGCGGUAAUACGUAGGGGGCAAGCGUUAUCCGGAUUUACUGGGUGUAAAGGGAGCGUAGACGGCAGUGCAAGUCCGGAGUGAAAGCCCGGGGCUCAACCCUGGGACUGCUCUGGAAACUGUAAAGCUGGAGGGCGGGAG